RNAcentral lists this ribosomal RNA (253 nucleotides) under uncultured bacterium. RNAcentral's name for it is "partial 16S ribosomal RNA". It matches the Rfam family "Bacterial small subunit ribosomal RNA", at positions 524 to 776 of the family's 1533-position model. The record is from RNAcentral.
UACGUAGGGUGCAAGCGUUGUCCGGAAUUAUUGGGCGUAAAGAGCUCGUAGGCGGUUUGUCACGUCGGAUGUGAAAACCCGAGGCUUAACCUCGGGCCUGCAUUCGAUACGGGCUGACUAGAGUUCGGUAGGGGAGACUGGAAUUCCUGGUGUAGCGGUGAAAUGCGCAGAUAUCAGGAGGAACACCGGUGGCGAAGGCGGGUCUCUGGGCCGUAACUGACGCUGAGGAGCGAAAGCGUGGGGAGCGAACAGG